Molecule: ribosomal RNA, 301 nt
Filed under: uncultured bacterium
Lineage: Bacteria
Description: partial 16S ribosomal RNA
Rfam family: Bacterial small subunit ribosomal RNA
Source: RNAcentral
CAGUCGCCGCGGGAAUACAGAGGGUGCAAGCGUUAAUCGGAAUUACUGGGCGUAAAGGGCGCGUAGGUGGCUGUGUAAGUGAGAUGUGAAAUCCCCGGGCUCAACCUGGGAACUGCGUCUUAUACUGCAUAGCUUGAGUACAAUAGAGGGUAGUGGAAUUUCCGGUGUAGCGGUGAAAUGCGUAGAUAUCGGAAGGAACACCAGUGGCGAAGGCGGCUACCUGGAUUGAUACUGACACUGAGGCGCGAGAGCGUGGGGAGCAAACAGGAUUAGAGACCCCCGUAGUCCCUGUCUCUUAUAC